This 527-nucleotide ribosomal RNA is filed under the name uncultured eukaryote. RNAcentral's name for it is "SSU rRNA". It matches the Rfam family "Eukaryotic small subunit ribosomal RNA", at positions 618 to 1150 of the family's 1831-position model. The record is from RNAcentral.
GUUAAAAGCUCGUAGUUGGAUUUCUGUCGAGGGCGGGCGGUCCGCACUAUGUGCGUGUAUCUUGUUCGGUCUUGGCAUCCUCUUGGGGAAUGCUUCUGUGCUUGAUUGCAUGGGGUGGAAUUCAAGACUUUUACUUUGAGGAAAUUAGAGUGUUCACGGCAAGCUACCGCUUUGAAUACAUUAGCAUGGUAUAAUAAUAUAGGGCGUAAGUUCUAUUUUGUUGGUUUCUAGGACAUACGCAAUGAUUAAUAGGGACAAUUGGGAGCAUUCGUAUUAACGCGUCAGAGGUGGAAUUCUUAGAUUGCGUUACGACGGACUACUGCGAAAGCAUUUGCCAAAGAUGUUUUCAUUGAUCAAGAACGAAAGUAUGGGGAUCGAAGACGAUUAGAUACCGUCGUAGUCUAUACCAUAAACUAUGCCAAUUAGAGAUUGGGCGUCGUUCGUUUUAUGACUCGCUCAGCACCUUAUGAGAAAUCAAAAUUUUUGGGUUCCGGGGGGAGUAUGGUCGCAAGGCUGAAACUUAAUGG